GAAAGCCCGGGGCUCAACCUCGGAACCGCAUUUGAAACUGGCAGGCUAGAGUCUUGUAGAGGGGGGUAGAAUUUCAGGUGUAGCGGUGAAAUGCGUAGAGAUCUGAAGGAAUACCAGUGGCGAAGGCGGCCCCCUGGACAAAGACUGACGCUCAGAUGCGAAAGCGUGGGUAGCAAACAGGAUUAGAUACCCUGGUAGUCCACGCCGUAAACGCUGUCUACUUGGAGGUUGAGGUUUAAGACUUUGGCUUUCGGCGCUAACGCAUUAAGUAGACCGCCUGGGGAGUACGGCCGCAAGGUUAAAACUCAAAUGAAUUGACGGGGGCCCGCACAAGCGGUGGAGCAUGUGGUUUAAUUCGAUGCAACGCGAAGAACCUUACCUACUCUUGACAUCCAGCGAAUCCUUUAGAGAUAGAGGAGUGCCUUCGGGAGCGCUGAGACAGGUGCUGCAUGGCUGUCGUCAGCUCGUGUUGUGAAAUGUUGGGUUAAGUCCCGCAACGAGCGCAACCCUUAUCCUUGUUUGCCAGCACGUAAUGGUGGGAACUCCAGGGAGACUGCCGGUGAUAAACCGGAGGAAGGUGGGGACGACGUCAAGUCAUCAUGGCCCUUACGAGUAGGGCUACACACGUGCUACAAUGGCAGAUACAGAGGGCAGCGAAGCUGCGAAGUGGAGCGAAUCCCUUAAAGUUUGUCGUAGUCCGGAUUGGAGUCUGCAACUCGACU
RNAcentral lists this ribosomal RNA (722 nucleotides) under uncultured Salinivibrio sp. RNAcentral's name for it is "bacterial SSU rRNA". It matches the Rfam family "Bacterial small subunit ribosomal RNA", at positions 596 to 1317 of the family's 1533-position model. The record is from RNAcentral. Lineage: Bacteria; Pseudomonadati; Pseudomonadota; Gammaproteobacteria; Vibrionales; Vibrionaceae.